AGUGAACGCUGGCGGUAGGCCUAACACAUGCAAGUCGAACGGCAGCACAGUAAGAGCUUGCUCUUACGGGUGGCGAGUGGCGGACGGGUGAGGAAUACAUCGGAAUCUACUUUUUCGUGGGGGACAGCGUAGGGAAACUUACGCUAAUACCGCAUACGACCUACGGGUGAAAGCAGGGGAUCUUCGGACCUUGCGCGAUUGAAUGAGCCGAUGUCGGAUUAGCUAGUUGGCGGGGUAAAGGCCCACCAAGGCGACGAUCCGUAGCUGGUCUGAGAGGAUGAUCAGCCACACUGGAACUGAGACACGGUCCAGACUCCUACGGGAGGCAGCAGUGGGGAAUAUUGGACAAUGGGCGCAAGCCUGAUCCAGCCAUACCGCGUGGGUGAAGAAGGCCUUCGGGUUGUAAAGCCCUUUUGUUGGGAAAGAAAAGCAGCAGGUUAAUACCCCGCUGUUCUGACGGUACCCAAAGAAUAAGCACCGGCUAACUUCGUG
Molecule: ribosomal RNA, 492 nt
Filed under: uncultured bacterium
Lineage: Bacteria
Description: partial 16S ribosomal RNA
Rfam family: Bacterial small subunit ribosomal RNA
Source: RNAcentral